GAUGAAGAACGUAGCGAAAUGCGAUAAGUAAUGUGAAUUGCAGAAUUCAGUGAAUCAUCGAAUCUUUGAACGCACCUUGCGCCCUUUGGCCAUUCCGAAGGGCAUGCCUGUUUGAGUAUCAUGAACACCUCAACUCUUUAUGGUUUUCCAUGAUGAGCUUGGACUCUGGGGGUUUUGCUGGCUCACAGUCGGCUCCUCUAAAAUGAAUCAGCUUACCAGUGUUUGGUGAGUAUCAUGGGUGUGAUAACUAUCUACGCUUGUGGUUUUUCCACCAGGUAACCUUCAGCAGUGGAGGUUCGCUGGAGCUCAUAGAUGUCUCUCCUCAGUGAGGACAGCCCUUUGAAUGUUUGAUCUCAAAUCAGGUAGGACUACCCGCUGAACUUAAGCAUAUCAAUAAGCGGAGGA
RNAcentral lists this unclassified non-coding RNA (405 nucleotides) under soil metagenome. RNAcentral describes it as "partial contains 5.8S ribosomal RNA, internal transcribed spacer 2, and large subunit ribosomal RNA". The stretch from base 1 to 121 matches the Rfam family "5.8S ribosomal RNA", at positions 35 to 154 of the family's 154-position model. The record is from RNAcentral.